Molecule: long non-coding RNA, 416 nt
Filed under: Equus caballus (horse)
Lineage: Eukaryota; Metazoa; Chordata; Mammalia; Perissodactyla; Equidae
Description: lncRNA (ENSECAG00000056199.1)
Source: RNAcentral
GCGCGCCAAGCCCAGGUAUAGAGAGGAGUUGAAGACAAGCCCACCUUGGAAGAGUCGGGCAGUGAACAGCCGGGCGCCCACCACUUAUAUGCCUCGGUGGAAAGAGGUUUCCUGUCCAGAGCUGCAGGCAGGCGCUGAGGCUGGAGCCCAAGCCAAAAGCGCUGCUCCAGGCUUUUCCACGAUGCUGAGUCCAAACCGCCUCAGCCGUCUUCACUCAGGGCAGCGCUCCCUCCAGUGAGGAGCCGUCCACACCGGCAGCCAUGCCCGGACUCGCUUAGGAAGAGCAGAGCGGCAGAGAGAAGGGGCUGGCUGCCCGGCUGGCUGAACCUAGCCCACCCAGGUUUCACCUACGCUGCUGAGCAAAGGGUCGAAGAACAGCUAAUUAAAAGCACCACUUCUCACGCUGGAGAAAAUAC